RNAcentral lists this long non-coding RNA (1099 nucleotides) under Bos indicus x Bos taurus (hybrid cattle). Its description in RNAcentral is "lncRNA (ENSBIXG00005014281.1)". Lineage: Eukaryota; Metazoa; Chordata; Mammalia; Artiodactyla; Bovidae. The record is from RNAcentral.
ACUUAUUUAGAAAUACGUGUCUGACUUGUCUAACACCAAUGUCUGUAUCUCCAACUGCUAUGGAAAUCUCCUCGCGUCAAAAAUAUCAGAUGACACAGUGGGGUACUGAUAUUUUCUUUUUUCCUCCUCGUCUCUCAAACCCUAGGUCUGGUGCAUGCAAGCUUGUGUACAGGGCUGCACAUCCUAAGCCUUUUUGUGAAUGGUGUUUGAGCCAGGCAUGUGCCGGCGAUAACGGGCGAGUUGGCAUGAAGAGAGGCAGAGAUGGAUUAAUUAUGCAGAGAACAUGGAAAUUCUGCUUAUCAUCGGCUAGCAAAGGAGCCCGGCUCACAUAAUCAGCAAACGAAGGGAGAGGAAAAAAUAACAAUGCAAUGGCACCUUCCAGCCCAUCAUCAGGAUUUUUUCUACCCCCCCUUGUAAUUAAAAAAUAACAUACACUUAUAGCCCUAUCUCCUGUGCAGGCAAAGAGUGGUUGUCCACAAAAUAAUUGCACUGGGAUAUUAGAGCUGGCAACAUGGGCUGUCCAUUCCUGCUUGCUUUCCCUCACCCUCUUUCUCUUUUGGCCUCUCAAGGCACUUUGCUUCUGAACUCAAUCCAAAUCAGACGGAUGUCUCAGGUGACAUUCUAGCUCACUUUCCAAAAAUCCCAAAUAGUUACCUUAUCAUGAUCCAAGCAAACAUAUAUACAUAUAUGACAAAUAUUUGAAAGUCUGACUCUGGGGGGAAGGCUUGGUAAUGAUCACCUGUGGACUAUCUGGUCAAUUUUAUUUUUAUUUUUGAUGAAAUCCAUCCAAAUAGCCUGCAUUUUGCAAAGUGACUGGAUUAAAACGGUGGGCUGUGCAAUGGCUAUGUUAAUCUUCUCAAACGAUUUUACUUACUUACAACUUUUUGUUUCUUUUUUUUCCCCUCUUUCCCAGUUUAUUUUAUAAAUUCAAGUAUAUAUAGUUAAUGACUGCAAUGUUUGUGCCUCAAAUCAGAAUUCACAGUUCUGUAUCUGUACUCUAAAUCUGACAGCUUAAUGCUUUGUAUUUCUCUAAAUGCCAAGAGAUGACAAUGACCCUAGUUUAUUGCCUGAAAGAAAAUAAAAUUUAACCUCACACUUG